AGGACGAACGCUGGCGGCGUGCUUAACACAUGCAAGUCGAACGGAAAGGCCCGCUUGCGGGUACUCGAGUGGCGAACGGGUGAGUAACACGUGGGCAACCUGCCCUCAGCUCUGGGAUAACUCCGGGAAACCGGUGCUAAUACUGGAUAUUUACUGUCUGCCGCAUGGUGGGUGGUGGAAAGUUUUUCGGCUGGGGAUGGGCCCGCGGCCUAUCAGCUUGUUGGUGGGGUGAUGGCCUACCAAGGCGACGACGGGUA
RNAcentral lists this ribosomal RNA (257 nucleotides) under uncultured bacterium. RNAcentral describes it as "partial small subunit ribosomal RNA". It matches the Rfam family "Bacterial small subunit ribosomal RNA", at positions 26 to 285 of the family's 1533-position model. The record is from RNAcentral.